GGGAAUGAUUUGGCUUCGAUUGGAGUAGCAAGGGUUAGUUGCAUGCCGAUUUGAAUAUAUCGUAAAUCUAUUCAACCGUUUUUAAACGCAAACAAUACAAAUUAUACUCCAGCUUACGCAAAAGCUGCGUAAGUUUAUUUAAACUUUCGGAGGCUGCAUACCAUAGAUUCUAUCUAAGUGGUGUUGCGGUUAAUAAUAGAUAGAUUAUCCUUGUAGUUGAUCGGCUAUUUGGAGACAAUUUAGAUCUUAGCUUGAGAGUAGUUUUUUGGAGAGUGUACUACUUUUAAAGUGAAACUAAACAAUCUUUUCUAAGCAUGUAGACGCUAAUUUGAGUUAUUUCAAGACACGGGUUCGACCCCCGUCAUUUCCACCA
RNAcentral lists this transfer-messenger RNA (373 nucleotides) under Arcobacter sp. FWKO B. It matches the Rfam family "transfer-messenger RNA". From Rfam's summary of the family: Bacterial tmRNA, also known as 10Sa RNA or SsrA, is named for its dual tRNA and mRNA-like properties. Its role is to liberate the mRNA from a stalled ribosome. Lineage: Bacteria; Pseudomonadati; Campylobacterota; Epsilonproteobacteria; Campylobacterales; Arcobacteraceae. RNAcentral also lists the same sequence under 1 other name. The record is from Rfam by way of RNAcentral.